This 495-nucleotide long non-coding RNA is filed under the name Bos taurus (domestic cattle). Its description in RNAcentral is "long non-coding RNA NONBTAT012139". The record is from RNAcentral. Lineage: Eukaryota; Metazoa; Chordata; Mammalia; Artiodactyla; Bovidae.
AGAUCGACUAGGAUAAAAUAGUGGCUCCCACGACCCCCUCACAAGGAUUCCAUAAAUAUUUCUGCUUCUGGCUUUACUCAUUAAGAUAGAAAGCAGGAGACCUUGAGAUCAUUCUGCUGACUUAGGCCUUCUUACCUGUUCUGUCAGAGCCUCACGAGAGGAGGCACACACACACACACCCCCCCCCACACACACUGUAUAAACACACAGUUUUUUUUAAUAGGAGAUGAUGCCUGUGAUAUUUAUGAUCACUUAAUAUGUUUAAAAAUACAUAGUCAGCCUACAGUGACUGUUUCUUCCUAGAUUCGUGAAUCAUGAUUCCAGUGAGUGGUGGUGGCUGUGAAGUGUGAUUUGAGCCUAGCAGGUGGGCUUUCCUUAGGCACUGGAUUCUGACAGAUAAAGCAGUGCUGACCAGAUGUCACAUAUAUGUGACUGCCCGUAAGCAGUGACCCUCUGGUACUGUGUCUGAGUUUAUGUAAAAACUGCUUCUUGGUA